This 478-nucleotide ribosomal RNA is filed under the name uncultured bacterium. RNAcentral's name for it is "partial 16S ribosomal RNA". It matches the Rfam family "Bacterial small subunit ribosomal RNA", at positions 28 to 507 of the family's 1533-position model. The record is from RNAcentral.
GAUGAACGCUGGCGGCGUGCUUAACACAUGCAAGUCGAACGAGAAGUGAAGACGGAAACGUUCUGGCGGAAGGCUGAAUGGCGAGGUGCGGCGUGGGGAAUAACGCGUGGGUAACCUGCCACAUACAGGGGGAUAACAGUUGGAAACGACAGGUAAUACCGCAUAAGACCACAGCAUGGCAUGGUUCGGGGGUAAAGACUGCGGUGGCAGGAGAUGAACUCGCGUUUGAUUAGCUAGUUGGCGGGGUAACUGCCCACUAGAGCGACGGUGGGUAGCCGAGGUGGGGGGAGGGCCGGCCACAUUGGGACUGAGACACGGCCCAGACUCCUGCGGGAGGCAGCAGUGGGGAAUAGUGCACGAUGGGGGAAACCCUGAUGCAGCGACGCCGCGUGAGUGAAGAAGUAUUUCGGUAUGUAAAGCUCUAUCAGCAGGGAAGAAAAUGACGGUACCUGAGUAAGAAGCCCCGGCUAACUACGUG